UGAAUAGCAGAAUUCAGUGAAUCAUCGAAUCUUUGAACGCACCUUGNCACCCUUUGGCAUUCCGAAGGGUAUGCUCGUUUGAGUGUCAUUGUACUCUCACACUUCCGAUCUUUGGAUUGGGAGCGGUGGACUUGGGUUUGCUGCUUGACGGUGGCUUACCUCAAAUGCGUUAGUGCAACUCUUGGUUGGACAUAGUACGGCGUGAUAAGUGUUCUUCGCCGGUGCCUCGCUUGCGAGGGUGGCCGAUCAGGAUGUUGUGCUCCAAACCGUCUGAAGCUUCGGACAAUAUAU
Molecule: unclassified non-coding RNA, 291 nt
Filed under: uncultured fungus
Lineage: Eukaryota; Fungi
Description: partial contains 5.8S rRNA, ITS2, and 26S rRNA
Rfam family: 5.8S ribosomal RNA (bases 1-88)
Source: RNAcentral